UGAACUUGAUCUCAAAUCAGAUAAGAGUACCCGCUGAACUUAAGCAUAUUAAUAAGCGGAGGA
This 63-nucleotide ribosomal RNA is filed under the name Cyllamyces sp. CB3B1. RNAcentral's name for it is "partial 28S ribosomal RNA". It matches the Rfam family "Eukaryotic large subunit ribosomal RNA", at positions 1 to 57 of the family's 3401-position model. Lineage: Eukaryota; Fungi; Neocallimastigomycota; Neocallimastigomycetes; Neocallimastigales; Neocallimastigaceae. The record is from RNAcentral.